This 221-nucleotide long non-coding RNA is filed under the name Elaeis guineensis (African oil palm). RNAcentral describes it as "long non-coding RNA (EGUI_LNC067993)". The record is from RNAcentral. Lineage: Eukaryota; Viridiplantae; Streptophyta; Magnoliopsida; Arecales; Arecaceae.
UGAGCCCAUAUUGUGUUUAUUCUUAAGUGCUUUGUAUUUGUUCUAUGAUAGUUUGUAAUUAUUCCAAAUAAAGUUAUUGUUUAUCCUCCAUAUUUGUUCUUUAUCAUAGAUAAGGCCUGAUGUGAUUAAAGGUUGGGGGUAAAGUUUAUUUUUAUUUCUGCGGUGUUUCUACUUAUCAUGCAGAUUAUAUAUUUAUUUUUUAGAGUUUUUAUUUAUUCUAG